GACGAACGCUGGCGGCGUGCUUAACACAUGCAAGUCGAACGGAAAGGCCCUGCUUUUGUGGGGUGCUCGAGUGGCGAACGGGUGAGUAACACGUGAGUAACCUGCCCUUGACUUUGGGAUAACUUCAGGAAACUGGGGCUAAUACCGGAUAGGAGCUCCUGCUGCAUGGUGGGGGUUGGAAAGUUUCGGCGGUUGGGGAUGGACUCGCGGCUUAUCAGCUUGUUGGUGGGGUAGUGGCUUACCAAGGCUUUGACGGGUAGCCGGCCUGAGAGGGUGACCGGCGACAUGGGGACUGAGGUACGGCCCAGACUCCUACGGGAGGCAGCAGUGGGGAAUAUUGCACAAUGGGCGGAAGCCUGAUGCAGCAACGCCGCGUGCGGGAUGACGGCCUUCGGGUUGUAAACCGCUUUCGCCUGUGACGAAGCGUGAGUGACGGUAAUGGGUAAAGAAGCACCGGCUAACUACGUG
RNAcentral lists this ribosomal RNA (468 nucleotides) under uncultured bacterium. Its description in RNAcentral is "partial 16S ribosomal RNA". It matches the Rfam family "Bacterial small subunit ribosomal RNA", at positions 28 to 507 of the family's 1533-position model. The record is from RNAcentral.